UCAAUUUGUUUGACGUUGACCGACUAUUUUGUGGAUCCCGCAAUAUCAACGGCACAGAUCCUCUUGGUCUCUCAUUGAAUGUUGCCAGAUGGAACCAACGUCGUUCGAUUCCUUAAACCCUCCACGCCCGGGAAAAAAGUAAAUCGUCAAGCCGUUGAGCAAAAACCCUAAACCUUGUCAGUUGUUCCGUGGGCACCAGAGAUUUGAGCGGUGCGCUAUAGUUUCUUUCUUGGUGAACACGAAUUCGCAUCUUUUUCUUCUCCAUUAUGCGAAGAUAGCGAAUGGUUCUAACAUUUCAAUUCUGUUCCGGCAUCUUCCUCUUAAUUUAUAAUGAGAAGAUUCAAGAUUCUGCUGGCUAGGCCUGUACCGGCGGCGUUUGAUGUCAUACAUGGCCGAUGGCCGUGGAAUCCGACAAUCACUAGCUGCAUCGGCUUGGUAUUCCUUUCCAGCUGCACCAUCCAUGUUACUCGAACGAUGUACUGUAUUUGUUUUUCGUUCUAAUAUAGAGUUCUACUCCUCCUUGUGAAACCUCUAUUAUUGAUUUCUAACUUUGUUUUUUCUCUAAUUGUUUGGAGAAGCUUUGCAUAGUUUCAGUUUUGUAAUUGGGAAACCUGAUUAUACUGAAAUCAAAGGACUGUUGGUGGGAAAGUGUUAUAUUCAUGCAACAGGAUCUUGUUGCUCUCCGGCAUGAGACUAUUAUGAACCUCUUGGUGUUUCUAAGAAUACCACCAGAGAUGAGAUCAAAAGGGCUUUUUAUGCGGUUAGUAUAAUACUGGCAUUUUGUGUUUCCUUUUUUCAGGUCAGGCAUUUUUCUUUCCAAUUCCAAAUUCUGCCUAUAUGUGAACCUAUAUCACUAAUUUUUUGCUGUAAUUGUUCAAAAAGUGUGCAUACUUUUUAUGCUCUUUACCCUUAUUAUGAGAUUGUUGAAGCUGUGUGUUCUAUUUGAGGUGAUGAUGUGUUGUUUCUUCAAAUCCAUAAUUCUACUUUGAUAAUGCGAGAGCUGAAUUUAGUAAAGAGAGCUGUAGGAACCAUCUAGCAAGUGAUUGGUGGAACUGGAUAUCAGCAUAAAAGAACUGGUAACUGUAAUAAUACUAUAAACAUCUCCACUUUGUUUGAUCCCAGUAAUUGAGGUUGACAUCAUAUAGAUAUGAUCAUGCACUGGGGUCCUAUCCUUAAGAUGACUCUGGAAGGAUAGCUCCCAAGGAGGUCUGGUAUUAUUUUUGGUGCCCUGACAUGGACAUAUUUAAAAGUAGUUUUCGAAGAAUUGGAGAACCUUUUGGAGAAGGGGGUGGGGGGUCAAAUGUAUUUACAUUCAGGAUUAAUAUCGACCCCGUCCUUCCAAACUAUUCCACCUCCAUCAUUCCCCCGCCCCCUUCGACCCCUUUUUUUUCUCCUGAAAAGUUUACAAAGAAAAAAGGAUGGAAGUUGAUGCCAUUUGCUUAUUGUUGUACAGGAAUAAUAGUUAUCAAGUUAUAAUAAUGAAAUCCAUUUGUUUGACUUAGAUAAAUCAAUCCUCACGACGGGCAUUUUUAUUUUGUUUAUUUUCAUGGAAAUAUAUCUCAUAUUAACUUAAGAUACAAUUUCUAGAUCUUUUUUCUGUUGUUUUAUAAUGUAUAUCAACGUCAAAAUGGAGCUUUAAAGUGUAGUCUGCUUCUGUUUGGUGAUUUUCUUGUCUGUUAUUCCAUUACUAAAGAUGUGAGAAUUGAGAAAUUUUGCUUGGAUUAUACUCUGUUCUUGGAAA
Long non-coding RNA from Tripterygium wilfordii, 1741 nucleotides. RefSeq lists it as uncharacterized. The record is from RefSeq and is a predicted model, not a curated record. Lineage: Eukaryota; Viridiplantae; Streptophyta; Magnoliopsida; Celastrales; Celastraceae. The transcript has 3 exons.